UACGGAGGGAGCUAGCGUUAUUCGGAAUUACUGGGCGUAAAGCGCACGUAGGCGGCUUUGUAAGUUAGAGGUGAAAGCCUGGAGCUCAACUCCAGAAUUGCCUUAAGACUGCAUCGCUUGAAUCCAGGAGAGGUGAGUGGAAUUCCGAGUGUAGAGGUGAAAUUCGUAGAUAUUCGGAAGAACACCAGUGGCGAAGGCGGCUCACUGGACUGGUAUUGACGCUGAUGUGCGAAAGCGUGGGGAGCAAACAG
This 251-nucleotide ribosomal RNA is filed under the name uncultured bacterium. RNAcentral's name for it is "partial 16S ribosomal RNA". It matches the Rfam family "Bacterial small subunit ribosomal RNA", at positions 524 to 775 of the family's 1533-position model. The record is from RNAcentral.